UACGAAGGGGGCUAGCGUUGUUCGGAUUUACUGGGCGUAAAGCGCACGUAGGCGGAUCUUUAAGUCAGAGGUGAAAUCCCAAGGCUCAACCUUGGAACUGCCUUUGAUACUGGGGAUCUUGAGUCCGGGAGAGGUGAGUGGAACUGCGAGUGUAGAGGUGAAAUUCGUAGAUAUUCGCAAGAACACCAGUGGCGAAGGCGGCUCACUGGCCCGGUACUGACGCUGAGGCGCGAAAGCGUGGGGAGCAAACAGG
This 253-nucleotide ribosomal RNA is filed under the name uncultured bacterium. Its description in RNAcentral is "partial 16S ribosomal RNA". It matches the Rfam family "Bacterial small subunit ribosomal RNA", at positions 524 to 776 of the family's 1533-position model. The record is from RNAcentral.